RNAcentral lists this long non-coding RNA (205 nucleotides) under Panax ginseng (ginseng). RNAcentral's name for it is "long non-coding RNA (PGIN_LNC013855)". The record is from RNAcentral. Lineage: Eukaryota; Viridiplantae; Streptophyta; Magnoliopsida; Apiales; Araliaceae.
CAGGUUCUUUGAAUCUGAGCCGUGUUGAAACUUUCAGAUUUUGGUCCUAUAUUUAUGUGGAUUAAAGAAUCUAAAAUAACCAAGAACAUUAACAGUAUUAACCACCUGCUGAUGUUCUUGGAAAAGGAAAGACAGAAAGAGUUUUAGAAAUCAGCAACACUUUUAUUUUAUUUUAUGUUUGCUUAUGAUUUCAAUGCUCUCGUUU